AAAAAGGUAAGCUAAAGUAAGCUAUUGGGUUCAUACCUCAUCCAUAGAAGUAAAAUCUUCUUCUUUUUA
Molecule: transfer RNA, 69 nt
Filed under: Ornebius kanetataki
Lineage: Eukaryota; Metazoa; Arthropoda; Insecta; Orthoptera; Mogoplistidae
Description: tRNA-Met
Source: RNAcentral